AAUGCGCGGGGCCUAGUGAGGCCACUGGGAGGCAGGAGCGGGGCUCGGUGGAGCUACUGAAAGGCAACAGGAGCUCUGGCCUGGGGAGGCCGAAGUCAGGCAAGAGCUGGGCGUGGAGAGUCUGCUGGGAGGCAGAGGCUGCGCUUGUGCAGGCCUUCGGGAGGCAGGAGGCUGGGCCUGGCGAGGCCGACUGGAGGUCAAGUCCUGGGCCUGAGGAGGCCGCCAAGAGGAGGAGCUGGGCCUGGAGAGGCUGGCUGGAGGAAGUCUGGGGCGUGGAGACGCCAUCGGAGGGCAGGAUCCGGGCCACCGUGGGGCCCGACUUCAGGCCGUUUGGGGCCUACAAAGGCCGCGGAGCGGGAGCUGGGCCGGAGCCAAGUCCAAAGAGGUUGUCGUGAGGCCGGGGCUGGGCUCGCGGCCGCAGCCGUGAGCAGGAGAAACAGGGCCUGGACGGGAGGCCGGGAGGCCGCAACAGGGCCUCGAGAGGCCGGCCUGAGGAAGUUCGGGGCCUGGAGAGACCGCCAAAAGGCAAAGGCUGGGCCUGGAAAGGCCGUUCACCGUGACGAAUGCCUGGGGCCUAGUGAGGCCACUGGGAGGCAGGAGCGGGGUCCGGCGGAGCUGCGGAAAGGCAGGAGGAGCUCUGGCCUGGGGAGGCCGCACUCAGGCGAGAGCUGGGCGUGGAGAGUCCGCUGGGAGGCAGAGGCUGGGCCUGUGCAGGCCUUCGGGAGGCAGGAGGCUGGGUCUGGCGAGGCCGACUGGAGAUCAAGUCCUGGGCCUGAGGAGGCCGCCCAGAGGCGUGAGCGGUGCUGGGCCUCAAGAGGCCAGUGGCAGGCAGGAGGAGCUGGGCCUGGAGAGGCUGAACUGAGGAAGAUUGGGAGCUUUAGAGGCCGCGGAGAGGCAGGAGCUCGGCUGACGGAGGCCGACUGGGUGACGAGUUGGGCCAGUAGGGGCCGCCGGGAGCAGGAGUGAGCCCUGGAGAGGCCGACUCGAGGCCAGCGUGCACCUGCAGAGGUCGCCGGGAGGAGGAGCUGGGCCUGGAGAGGCUGGCUGGAGGAAGUCUGGUGCGUGGAGACGACGAAGGACGGCAGGAGCCGAGCCCGGAGAGGCCACCGUGGGGCCCGGCUUCAGGACAUUUGGGGCCUACAAAGGCCGCACAGCGGGAGCUGGGCCGGAGUCGAGUCCAAAGAGGUUGUCGUGAGGCCGGGGCCGGGCUCGCGGCCUAAGCCAAGAGCAGGAGAAGCUGGGCCUGGACGGGAGGCCGGGAGGCCGCAACGGGGCCUGCAGAGUCCGGCCUGAGGAAGUUCGGGGCCUGGAGAAGCCGCCAAAAGGCAAAGGCUGGGCCUGGAAAGGCCGUUUCCCGUGACAAAUGCGCGGGGCCCACUGAGGCCACUGGGAGACAGGA
Molecule: long non-coding RNA, 1399 nt
Filed under: Macaca mulatta (Rhesus monkey)
Lineage: Eukaryota; Metazoa; Chordata; Mammalia; Primates; Cercopithecidae
Description: lncRNA (ENSMMUG00000059573.1)
Source: RNAcentral